Molecule: microRNA precursor, 116 nt
Filed under: Oryza punctata
Lineage: Eukaryota; Viridiplantae; Streptophyta; Magnoliopsida; Poales; Poaceae
Description: mir-399 microRNA precursor family
Rfam family: mir-399 microRNA precursor family
About the family: mir-399 was identified in both Arabidopsis thaliana and Oryza sativa computationally and was later experimentally verified. mir-399 is thought to target mRNAs coding for a phosphatase transporter. The mature sequence is excised from the 3' arm of the hairpin.
Source: Rfam by way of RNAcentral
GUGAGAAUCACAGUGCAGUUCUCCUCUGGCAUGGAGGGCGAGAGGAGCUGAAUAACUAAUGGAUGAUAAACUGCUAGCCUUUCCCUGCCAAAGGAGAGCUGCCCUGCCAUUCAGUG